This 773-nucleotide ribosomal RNA is filed under the name uncultured Neocallimastigales. RNAcentral's name for it is "partial large subunit ribosomal RNA". It matches the Rfam family "Eukaryotic large subunit ribosomal RNA", at positions 23 to 639 of the family's 3401-position model. Lineage: Eukaryota; Fungi; Neocallimastigomycota; Neocallimastigomycetes; Neocallimastigales. The record is from RNAcentral.
AGAGAGAGACAUGCGCGCAUAUCAAUAAGCGGAGGAAAAGAAACUAACAAGGAUUCCCUAGUAACGGCGAGUGAAGCGGGAAGAGCUCAAAUUUGAAAUCUUCAAGGUUCUACCUUGACGAAUUGUAGUUUAAAGAAGUGUUUUCUGUUGAAGUUUUGGUAAAAGUUCUUUGGAAUAGGACAUCAUAGAGGGUGAGAAUCCCGUAUUUGACCAUUAUUUCCAGCUUUGUGAUACACUUUCAAAGAGUCGGAUUGUUUGGGAAUGCAGUCCAAAAUGGGUGGUAAAUUUCAUCUAAAGCUAAAUAUUGGCGAGAGACCGAUAGCGAACAAGUACCGUGAGGGAAAGAUGAAAAGAACUUUGAAAAGAGAGUUAAACAGUACGUGAAAUUGUCAAAAGGGAAGCGUUUGACACCAGUGUUGUUUUCUCGAAAAUCAAUUAAAAAAGGCAGGAUUUUGUGUUGUAUUGACUUUAUCAGCUUUCUGCACUCUUUUCUUGUCUUUUUUAAUGCACUUUUCGUUUAACAAGUCAACAUCAAUUUCUUUUGUUGUAAAAGGGUCAUUGGAAGGUGGCUUUCUUUUCGGAGAAAGUGUUUAUAGCCUUUGGCCUCUGCAAUCGGAGAGAUUGAGGUCUGCAGCGUAGAUCCUUCGGGGUUAGAUACAUUUGUGCUGAGUUAUAGCCUUUCAUAGACAACUUGUUGACUAUGAUCAGUCAUGUAGCUUACUCGCUUAUGCUAUUUUACCUACGCUUAGGAUGUUGAUGUGAUACUGCGAGCA